Molecule: long non-coding RNA, 1638 nt
Organism: Sceloporus undulatus (fence lizard)
Lineage: Eukaryota; Metazoa; Chordata; Lepidosauria; Squamata; Phrynosomatidae
Exons: 8
Source: RefSeq, a predicted model, not a curated record
GCGUUCCUUUCCGUCAUCUGGUGCCACUGCUGAGGUCAGAACAAAGCACCCAAUUACACUAUCAAUGCUGGGUGCCUCAUUCUGACCUCAGAUCAACUCAAGCCACAGGAGUGGCACCGGGCAACUUGCAGGGACUGCGAGUGGAAAGGUAGCUAGCGUCAUCACUGCAAAGAGAGCCAAAAACCUGCAGCAAAAGACUUUUGAUGUACGAUUACCUUGAACUAGAAGUUCGGCUGUUGAAGUAGCUCGUCCCACGCUAUUUGUGGCAUUUACUGAAUAGGUUCCGGAGUCUUCGGGAAUCAAGACAAUACUUUUCAAAUUCUGAGGAAAAUUAGAUCAAGCCUUGAUUCAAAAGAAGACGAACUACAGGAGAAUGCAUUUUCUCACGAACGAUACGAAGCGUCUGUUCUCAAAGAUAUCCAUGACUUAACGGCACUUGUAAUACAGCCAACAACCUCAAUGUCAGAGGAAUUUUCAUUACUUGAUAGGAUACGAAGUAACUUCGAGAAAAAACACAUGGUUUAUUGGGAAAUCCAAAAAAAAACAACCCGAUUUGCUUGAAAAAAUUCAGUUUCAGCUGACGGAUGAUUCAGACCUGAAUCUGUCAACUUGUAGUGAAUUAGCUGGACCGUCCACUUUUGGAAAUAGUGGCCUUGACAUUAAAAUGAACAUUCACAAGCCUAUCUGUGACAUUCCAGCCAAUACUGGAAAAGAAAUGGACUCAGAGAUUAGUUCUGAGCCACCAGGAAAGAAAGAUCCAAUGUUUAAAUCUCCAAAGAAACAGCGGCAGCCUCCUGUUGCAAAUAAAGACAUGAUAAACAUGCCAAAAUCAGGACACGCUUCAUCCUAAUGCAGACUCAGCUUUUGCCUGUGUGGUGGAAACAGGGUGACCUGACAUCUUCCUUUUCCAGGACAUGUCCAGCUUCCUUCUGGGAAGAAUUCCAAAAGUCUUCCAUUUUGACCAUGACCAAGAAGCAUAAAUUUAUAUUUAUAUUAAUGUUUUUAGCUUUUAUUUUGUAAUGCCCUACAUUUUCCUUCAGCAUCCUACAUUUUGCAGUACCUUGUCCUCCUUUGCACUUAAGACAUCUGGUCUCCCUGGAUGGAAAGAAUUCUAUUAAGACAGAAAGAGGUCCCUCUCUCUUCUCCAAUUCCUUUCAGCAGCAUACUAGCCAUGGUUAAAAAUGGAAGGUGGCAGCUGCUUCCUAUAUAGCUCCCCUCUCUCCCUAAAGCCCUCUCUGCUUAGGAAGACUCUGCUAUGCAAAACAGACAUAAAACCAGUCUCUCCUAAGUGUAUGUUAAUACUGAGUAUUAGAAGUUAAACCACAAAGUUGUCUUUUGCAUUCAACUGCUAAAUCUAAUGUGCAUUCAUUUGCAUUCUUUAAAACAGCAUAACAUCUCAGAAUGUAGAAUAUUUUCAGUAUUUUGUUGCUUUCAGGCUGAAAUGCUGCAAAAGGAGCUUAUUUAAAUUUAUAGUCGCUUCCAAACCUUUCUUAAUUUCAUGUUAUUACUCUGAAGGACAUUGGACAACUCUAAUAAUCUUUAUGUAAUCUCUUGCAAAAGAUGAAGUAAACAAUCUUCAUACUUACAUAGCAUGUAUAAGGCGCAAAAUCUGAAAUAUCAUGUACAGUGGUGCCUCGG